RNAcentral lists this ribosomal RNA (748 nucleotides) under Nitratidesulfovibrio vulgaris. RNAcentral describes it as "bacterial SSU rRNA". It matches the Rfam family "Bacterial small subunit ribosomal RNA", at positions 50 to 783 of the family's 1533-position model. Lineage: Bacteria; Pseudomonadati; Thermodesulfobacteriota; Desulfovibrionia; Desulfovibrionales; Desulfovibrionaceae. The record is from RNAcentral.
GCUACAUGCAAGUCGCGCGUGAAAGGACUUCGGUCCGAGUAAAGCGGCGCACGGGUGAGUAACGCGUGGAUGAUCUACCCAUGAGUUGGGAAUAACGGCUGGAAACGGUCGCUAAUACCGAAUACGCUCCGAUUUCAACUUCGGGGGAAAGGUGGCCUCUGCUUGCAAGCUACUGCUCAUGGAUGAGUCCGCGUCCCAUUAGCUAGUUGGUGGGGUAACGGCCCACCAAGGCGACGAUGGGUAGCCGGUCUGAGAGGAUGACCGGCCACACUGGGACUGGAACACGGCCCAGACUCCUACGGGAGGCAGCAGUGGGGAAUAUUGCGCAAUGGGCGAAAGCCUGACGCAGCGACGCCGCGUGAGGGAUGAAGGUCCUCGGAUCGUAAACCUCUGUCAGGAGGGAAGAACCGCCACGGUGCUAAUCAGCCGUGGUCUGACGGUACCUCCAAAGGAAGCACCGGCUAACUCCGUGCCAGCAGCCGCGGUAAUACGGAGGGUGCGAGCGUUAAUCGGAAUCACUGGGCGUAAAGCGCACGUAGGCUGCUUGGUAAGUCAGGGGUGAAAGCCCGCGGCUCAACCGCGGAAUUGCCUUUGAUACUGCCGAGCUAGAGUCCGGGAGAGGGUAGUGGAAUUCCAGGUGUAGGAGUGAAAUCCGUAGAGAUCUGGAGGAACAUCAGUGGCGAAGGCGACUACCUGGACCGGUACUGACGCUGAGGUGCGAAAGCGUGGGGAGCAAACAGGAUUAAUA